UCAGACGAUGCGUCAUGCAUAUCAAUAAGCGGAGGAAAAGAAACUAACAAGGAUUCCCCUAGUAACGGCGAGUGAAGCGGGAAGAGCUCAAAUUUGAAAUCUUAAAGGGUUUCCCUUUACGAAUUGUAGUUUAAAGAAGUGUUUUCUGUUGAGGUUUUGGUAAAAGUUCUUUGGAAUAGGACAUCAUAGAGGGUGAGAAUCCCGUAUUUGACCUUUACUUUCAACUUUGUGAUACACUUUCAAAGAGUCGGAUUGUUUGGGAAUGCAGUCCAAGAUGGGUGGUAAAUUUCAUCUAAAGCUAAAUAUUGGCGAGAGACCGAUAGCGAACAAGUACCGUGAGGGAAAGAUGAAAAGAACCUUUGAAAAGAGAGUUAAACAGUACGUGAAAUUGUCAAAAGGGAAGCGUUUGACACCAGUGUUGCUUUUUCUGAAAAUCAAUUAAAGAACUGUUUAUGCUAAGCCUGUUUAGACUUUAUCAGCUAUCUGUUUAGUUUUGAGCUUUUCUUUAAUGCACUUUUCAGUUAACAAGUCAACAUCAAUUUCUUUUGCUGUAAAAAAGCUUGAGGAAGGUGGCUUGAGAUUCGUCUUAAGUGUUUAUAGCCUCUUGCCUAUGCAGUCGGAGAGAUUGAGGUCUGCAGCGUAGAUCCUUCGGGGCUAAAUGCAUUUGUGCUAAGUUAUAGCAUUUUAUAGACAACUUGUUGACUAUGAUUUGUCUUGUAGCUUACUCGCUUAUGUUAUUUUACCUACGCUUAGGAUGUUGAGCGCAUGUCUCUCUCU
Molecule: ribosomal RNA, 777 nt
Filed under: uncultured Neocallimastigales
Lineage: Eukaryota; Fungi; Neocallimastigomycota; Neocallimastigomycetes; Neocallimastigales
Description: partial large subunit ribosomal RNA
Rfam family: Eukaryotic large subunit ribosomal RNA
Source: RNAcentral